Molecule: long non-coding RNA, 265 nt
Organism: Prinia subflava (tawny-flanked prinia)
Lineage: Eukaryota; Metazoa; Chordata; Aves; Passeriformes; Cisticolidae
Exons: 3
Source: RefSeq, a predicted model, not a curated record
GGGAACGUCACUGCGGGACAUUUGGGCACGUACCAGUGCGUGGCCACCAACCAGCUGGGACAGGACGGGCACCGCGUGUUCCGGGCACUCAGCCCUGAGCUGGCCCUGGAGGUGACAUCAUGGGGACACUGGGGUACAGCAGUGGCCGUGAAUGGUGGCAGGACCCUCCUGUUCCUGGUCCUUCUCGUGGCUGUCAUCGGGGGCUGUCACUGGUGGCAUCACCUGGCUGCCAAGAAAUCCCAGGCAGGUGAGUUGGAGGCUCCAG